CUUGUUUAAAGCUAAGCAAAUUGAGCCCCUGAUCUGGGGUGACACUAAGCUGAACUCCUUUAAGGAGGUAAACUGUAGUGUAGCCAGCACUCCCUCUCUGGGGUACCCUACUUGUAAAUUACCCUUUUUUCCCUCCUUGCCCAUGAAUGAGAAGCCUUCAUCCUCCUUACACAGGAGCAGAGAAGCCAGCUAGAGCUCUGGGAUAUUUUAGCCACCCGCUGGAUACCACAAGAGGGACCGGCCCCCUCGCGUGAGGCCCACUGCUGCAGACGGGACUCUUAGAGCCGACCGAGGAGCUCACCGUGGAUCUGCAGGAACUCUGACGCCCCUCACUCUCCCCCAGCAGGCGCCGAGAGCCUUUGCCUGCGUGCAGCGGGGCGUCACGGUGAGCUCCUCGUACCUGGGCGGCAGCCGGGGGCCACACGCCACGCACAGGAGCCCCGUGUCACGCACAAGAGCCACGCGCCACGCACAGGAGCCACGCGCCACGCACAGGAGCCACGCGCCACGCACAGGAGCCCCCAGUGCCCGCCUCCCCCUCUGGAGCGCCCGCCCUGACGGUUCUGCUCUGCUGGGCUGCCGCAGAUCGCCGUGCUGACGCUGACGCUGUUUCCCGUCCGCCUGCUGCUGGCCACCUGCAUGAUGCUGCUCGCCUGGCCCCUGGCCUUCGCCGCCUCGCUGGGCUGUGCCGAC
RNAcentral lists this long non-coding RNA (693 nucleotides) under Dasypus novemcinctus (nine-banded armadillo). Its description in RNAcentral is "lncRNA (ENSDNOG00000050020.1)". Lineage: Eukaryota; Metazoa; Chordata; Mammalia; Cingulata; Dasypodidae. The record is from RNAcentral.